This 253-nucleotide ribosomal RNA is filed under the name uncultured bacterium. Its description in RNAcentral is "partial 16S ribosomal RNA". It matches the Rfam family "Bacterial small subunit ribosomal RNA", at positions 524 to 776 of the family's 1533-position model. The record is from RNAcentral.
UACGUAGGGUGCGAGCGUUGUCCGGAAUUACUGGGCGUAAAGAGCUCGUAGGUGGUUUGUCGCGUUGUUCGUGAAAACUCACAGCUUAACUGUGGGCGUGCGGGCGAUACGGGCAGACUGGAGUACUGCAGGGGAGACUGGAAUUCCUGGUGUAGCGGUGAAAUGCGCAGAUAUCAGGAGGAACACCGAUGGCGAAGGCAGGUCUCUGGGCAUUAACUGACGCUGAGGAGCGAAAGCUAGGGGAGCAAACGGG